UUGACGGUACCCUACUAGAAAGGAGCCGCUAACUUCGUGCCAGAAGCGUCGGUAAUAACGGGGGCUCCAAGCGUUGUCCGGUGUUAUUGGGCGUAAAGAGUCGUGUAGGUGGUUGGGUAAGUUAUCUUUCAAAUAUCUUUGCUUAACAAAGAGGAGGGGGAUAAUACUGCUCGACUAGAAUUUUCUCAAGGGAGAUCGGAACUGAGGGAGGAGUAGUGAAAUGCGUUGAUACCCUCGGGAACACCAGUGGCGUAGGCGGAUCUCUGGGAGAAGAUUGACACUGAGACACGAAAGCUAGGGGAGCGAAGCAGAUUAGAGACCUGCGUAGUCCUAGCCGUAAACGCAUGCUUGCUAGCUGCAUGAAUCUACCUUCGGGUGGUAUCGUGUGGCGAAGGUAACCCGUUAAGCAAGCCGCCUGGAAAGUACGGCCGCAAGGCUGAAAUUCAAAGGAAUUGGCGGGGAGGCACACAACCAGUGGAACAUGUGGUUUAAUUCGAGACUAACCGAAGAACCUCACCAGGGUUUGACAUGUAGCUGCACGUCUUAAGAAAUUAAGACUCUCUUGAAGGUGCUACACAGGUGCUGCAUGGCUGUCGUCAGCUCGUUCCGUGAGGAGUGCCCUUAAGUGGGACAACGAGCGCAACCCCUAUUACAUGUUAGAAAUGUCAUGUAAGACUGCCUUGCCAUUUGGCGGGGAGGAAGGAGGGGCAGACGUCAAGUCCGCAUGGUCCUUAUGCCCUGGGCUACACACAUGUUACAAUGAGUACGGCAAUGAGUCUGUCGCGAGCACGUAAGUGUAAGCUAAUCUCUUAAAUGUACUCUCAGUGGGGAUUGAGGUCUGCAACUCGACCUCAUGAACACGGAAUUGGUAGUAAUCGCGGGUCAGCUAUACCGCGGUGAUACGUUCUUGCCUCUUGCACACACCGCCCGUCAAACCAGCAAAGU
Molecule: ribosomal RNA, 945 nt
Filed under: uncultured organism
Description: bacterial SSU rRNA
Rfam family: Bacterial small subunit ribosomal RNA
Source: RNAcentral